AGGGUUUGAUUCUGGCUCAGAACGAACGCUGGCGGCGUGGAUAAGACAUGCAAGUCGAGCGCUGAUCACAGGGUAGCAAUAUUCUGUGGUUGGAGCGGCGCAAGGGUGCGUAACACGUGGGUAAUCUGCCAUGAAGUUUGGAAUAACUUGCUGAAAGGCGAGCUAAUACCGGAUGUGACGAUUGGGAGGCAUCUCCUGAUUUUCAAAGCUGGGGACCGUAAGGCCUGGCGCUUCAUGAUGAGCCCGCGGCCUAUCAGCUAGUUGGUGAGGUAACGGCUCACCAAGGCUAAGACGGGUAGCUGGUCUGAGAGGACGACCAGCCACACUGGAACUGAGACACGGUCCAGACACCUACGGGUGGCAGCAGUCGAGAAUUUUUCACAAUGGGCGCAAGCCUGAUGGAGCGACGCCGCGUGGGGGAUGAAUGGCUUCGGCCCGUAAACCCCUGUCAUUUGCGAACAAUUAGGUUCAACUAAUACCUGAACCGUUGCUAGUAGCGAAAGA
Molecule: ribosomal RNA, 504 nt
Filed under: uncultured bacterium
Lineage: Bacteria
Description: bacterial SSU rRNA
Rfam family: Bacterial small subunit ribosomal RNA
Source: RNAcentral